AACGAACGCUGGCGGCGUGUCUUAAGCAUGCAAGUCGAACGAGAACCUGAUUGGAGUUUGAUUUAUCAGACUCCUUACGGGGGACAGUGGCGAACGGGUGAGUAACACGUGGGUAACCUGCCCUUGGAUGGGGGAUAGCCUUAGGAAACUAGGGGUAAUACCGCAUAAUCUCGUUUUAUCGUAAGAUGAAAUGAUGAAAGGCGCCCUCUGCAUAUGGUGCCGUCCUAGGAUGGGCCCGCGGCCUAUUAGCUUGUUGGUAGGGUAAAAGCCUACCAAGGCGACGAUGGGUAGCCGGCCUGAGAGGGUGUUCGGCCACAUUGGGACUGAGAUACGGCCCAGACUCCUACGGGAGGCAGCAGCUAAGAAUAUUCCGCAAUGGGCGAAAGCCUGACGGAGCGACGCCGCGCGGAGGAUGAAGGCUUUCGGGUUGUAAACUCCUUUUCACAGGGAAGAAUAAGGUUGGGAGUAACUGCCCAAUCGAUGACGGUACCUGUGGAAUAAGCCCCGGCUAAUUACGUGCCAGCAGCCGCGGUAAUACGUAUGGGGCAAGCGUUGUUCGGAUUCACUGGGCGUAAAGGGCGUGUAGGCGGCAGAGAAAGUCGGAUGUGAAAUUUUUAGGCUUAACCUAAAAACUGCAUUCGAAACUGCUCAGCUAGAGUACCGGAGAGGGAGACGGAAUUCCUGGUGUAGGGGUGAAAUCUGUAGAUAUCAGGAAGAACACCGGUGGCGAAGGCGGUCUCCUGGCCGGAUACUGACGCUGAGGCGCGAAGGCUAGGGGAGCAAACAGGAUUAGAUACCCUGGUAGUCCUAGCUGUAAACGUUGUGCACUAGGUGUAGGUUGGUUUAUCCUAUCUGUGCCGGAGCUAACGCAUUAAGUGCACCGCCUGGGGAGUAUGCUCGCAAGGGUGAAACUCAAAGGAAUUGACGG
Molecule: ribosomal RNA, 928 nt
Filed under: uncultured bacterium
Lineage: Bacteria
Description: bacterial SSU rRNA
Rfam family: Bacterial small subunit ribosomal RNA
Source: RNAcentral